This 329-nucleotide unclassified non-coding RNA is filed under the name soil metagenome. RNAcentral describes it as "partial contains 5.8S ribosomal RNA, internal transcribed spacer 2, and large subunit ribosomal RNA". The stretch from base 1 to 120 matches the Rfam family "5.8S ribosomal RNA", at positions 35 to 154 of the family's 154-position model. The record is from RNAcentral.
GAUGAAGAACGCAGCGAAAUGCGAUAAGUAAUGCGAAUUGCAGAAUUCCGUGAGUCAUCGAAUCUUUGAACGCACAUUGCGCCCUCUGGUAUUCCGGGGAGCAUGCCUGUUCGAGCGUCAUUACAACCCUCAAGCUCUGCUUGGUGUUGGGCCCCGCCGCCCCGGCGGGCCCUAAAGUCAGUGGCGGUGCCGUCCGGCUCCGAGCGUAGUAAUUUUUCUCGCUUUGGAGGCCCGGGCGCGUGCUUGCCAUCAACCCCCAAUUUUUUUCAGGUUGACCUCGGAUCAGGUAGGACUACCCGCUGAACUUAAGCAUAUCAAUAAGCGGAGGA